This is a long non-coding RNA of Eriocheir sinensis (Chinese mitten crab), 3431 nucleotides long. RefSeq lists it as uncharacterized. The transcript has 2 exons. NCBI's taxonomy places the organism in Eukaryota, Metazoa, Arthropoda, Malacostraca, Decapoda, Varunidae. The record is from RefSeq and is a predicted model, not a curated record.
AGAGAGAAAGUGAAUUGUUACGUCAAAUUAGUUUAGUUAUGGAUUUAAACAGAGAGAGAGAGAGAGUGAAAGAAAGAUAGGAAAGUGAUUAAAAGAGAAUAGGAAGAGAAUGGAUGUAUGAAGAGAGAGAGCAAAAGGUAUUUCUCAGCGCUGUAGUGAAAGGUUCAGCUCUUCUAUAACGAUGCAAAGUACCUGUCCCCAAGUGUGAUAUUAAUGCUUAAGGCGUGUAACUUAUUGUACACUGUAAUGCUAAAUAAUUACCGUAAAUAAAUGCAAGUGCCGAGGAAGGGAGAGAGCAGCAGCAGCAUUUGACGUGUAAUUAAGUAAUGUAUUGUUGUGCACGGGGUAAGAAUAAUGAUAAUAAUAAUAAUAGUUAUCAAAUAUACACACACACACUCAAGAUAAAAAAAACAAACGUAAAUAAAAAUAGAAAUAUAACGAAACACUAACUUUAAAAUCGUUUACAUAAAAAAGGUCAUAAAAAAAGAAAUGGUAAACUUGGAUUCCUGGUACGAGUAAUAUUUUUUUUUUGGUUUUAAUAAUGAAGAAUAUAAAAAAAAUUAACUUGUAUGCAUCAUUUUUGUUUUUGUUUUAUGUUCUGUAUGACUGUGUUUUACUCUGUGCUCAGAUAGCGUAGGAACAUACGAUAUAUACAGACAUGCAUCGCUUUGGUUCACUGAAGGAAUGCAACGUUAAACAUUCUACUUUUUACUCCUCUUUUUUUUAUUACCUACUGAAUUCUUAAUAUUAUCAUAACCUCUCUUUUGGCCACUCAUCCAUACAUUGUUUUAUAGGAGCAGUGACUAGCGGGCUAUUAUUCCCUAUUUAUUUUUGCCCGAGAGCUCACGGCCAUACCCAUUUUCAAAACCAUUAUCCCCUUAGCUGAUUUGGCUCACUUCAAUCGCCACUUGCCCUCUUCAAGUGGCUACAAAGGCUCAAAUUUAAGUGAAAAAAGGAGCCCCCCCUCCCGUUUAACAGCUCUGGGAAUGGCCCUGGAGCUGCUUUCUUCACUGUAAAAAAAAAGGAGGAUGAGGAGAACUAACUUUUUCUUCUUUUUGUGUUUUCUUUGAUUUGUGUGUUUAGUGAGUAAGUGUUUGGCGUGAACUGUGUGAACGUGAGUCUAAGGAAGAUUGCUGGAUUCUUGUCUUCAUAUUGUUAUUAGGAGCAAGAGGAAAGAGAAAGACUACCAGGUAUAUGAUUUUUACUAUUGAGUUUUGUGGAUAAGUGUUUGAGGUUGAAAUGUGUGAAAGUUAUGCAAAAGAAGAAGAUUAAUGAAUUUUUUGUUUUAUGUUAUUAAGAGAAAGAGGAGGAAAAUAUAUUGUUUUACUUUUGUGUUAUCUCUAAUUUGUGCAUUUUGUGGAUAAGUGUUUGAGGAUGAAAUGUGUGAAAGUUAUGCAAAAGAAGAUCAUGGAAUUCUUAGCCUUAUAUUAUUAGGAAGAGGAAAAGGAGGAGGACGAUAUCAUUUAUUUCUUUUGUGUUUAGUGAAAAAGUAUUUGCAGUGAAAUGUGUGAAGGCAAAUCAAUAGGAAAAGUUGAAUAAGAGUAAUAGGAAAAGUCAGUUGUUUAUUGAUGAAAGAGAAAGGGAGUGUAAAAAAAAAAGAAAGGAUUUACCCAUUUCUGAUGUGAAAUAUUGUGUUUGUAGUGACACCUGGGAAUUUCUUUUUGUUAUCUUAUGACACACACACACACACACACAGUAUUAUCUAUAAAUUCUGAAAUGUUAUCUAAAGGUUAUCUGUCGAGAAAACACACACACACACACACACACACACAAACAGAGUAUUGUCUAUAAAUUCUGAAAUGUUAUCUACAGGUUAUCUGUCGAGGAAAACACACACACACACACACACACACACACACACACACACACACACACACAGUAUUGUCUAUAAAUUCUGAAAUGUUAUCUAAAGGUUAUCUGUCGAGAACGAACACACACACACACACACACACACACACACACACACACACACACACACACACAGUAUUGUCUAUAAAUUCUGAAAUGUUAUCUAAAGGUUAUAUGUUGAGGAAACACACACACACACACACACACACACACACACACACACAGUAUUGUCUAUAAAUUCUGAAAUGUUAUCUAAAGGUUAUCUGUCGAGGAAACACACACACACACACACACACACACACACACACAGCAUUGUCUAUAAAUUCCGAAAUAUUAUGUAAACUUGUAAAGGUUAUCUGUCGAGAACACACACACACACACACACACACACACACACACACACACUCCGGUAGCUCAAUCGGUUAGAGCGCCGCGCUGCAAGGCUUCACGGCCAAACAAGCGGCGGUUCGAGCCCCGCUCAGGGCGGAUUCUUUCCGUUGACUAGGAGUGGUUACUGUCCCCCCUUGAGCAAGGGGGAUGGGGUGUGUGGUGUGUGAGGUCCUGGCAGUACCCAGAGAUCGACAAUAAUGAGCACUUGCUCACGUCGUGAGGGUACCUGCUGGCGAAAGCGAGUCCAACUCGUGAUCAGGCCGUGGUGAAUUACACACACACACACACAGCAUUGUUUAUAAACUCCGAAAUGUUAUCUAAUGAUUAUCUGUCGAGAACACACACACACACACACACACACACACCAUUUUAUCUAAACAAAAAUCCCCUUCCAACACUGGGAAUUAAUUAUCUGUGUACCGUGGAACUGAAGCUGUAUGGAAGCCUUAUAAAAAAAUAGUGUUUUCGAAUAGAGAGGAACUAAAAAUAUAUGAUGAACUGAAGGUAACUUUUUCUAGAUGUCAUUUAGAGCAAGCAUCCAACUUCUAUCAGUGAAUUUGUAUACAAUAAACUGGUGAUGUAUUUCCUGUGUUGUGAUCACUUAUGCAAUGUAUGUUUAUCACGCAAGGAACUGUGUAUUUAUGUAUAGGUGAUAAGCUAAAUAAUGCUACCUAUUCAGCCGUUCUAUGCUCUGUGUCAAGUGUAUUGAUGUGUGUGUGUGUGUGUGUGUGUGUUUGAGAUAAGCUGAGGGAAAGGAAGGCGAGAAAGAAAGAGAGGAUAAAAAAGAAGGAAAGGGAAAGGAAGAGAAAAGAGAGGAAAGGAAUGAAAGGGAAAAUAAAGAACAGGAAGAAAAUGAAUGGUAAAGGAGAGGAAGAUGAAGAAAAGCAAAAACAAGGAAGAGAAAGGGAAGGGAAGAGUAUGUGUGUGUGUGUGUGUGUGUGUGUGUGUGUGUGUGUGUGUGUGUGUGUGUGUAUUAUAAUCCUUUAACUUCCUCCUCACCCUCCCCUCCAACAUAUUAUUUUUCUCAUUCUCUUCUCUGCUUAAGAAAAAAAUCACAUGCAUUAUUAUUAUUAUUAUGUUUAACUUAUUUUCCUUCACGGCAUCGAAACUCUUCAAACCAAAACGUUGCAUUAAUUCAGGUUGACAUUUCAGCCUGCAGAAUUCUGGUCAAAAUAAAAGUUAUUUCAAACGAU